Long non-coding RNA from Mesocricetus auratus (golden hamster), 470 nucleotides. RefSeq lists it as uncharacterized. NCBI's taxonomy places the organism in Eukaryota, Metazoa, Chordata, Mammalia, Rodentia, Cricetidae. The transcript is spliced from 3 exons. The record is from RefSeq and is a predicted model, not a curated record.
CUCCCAGUCUCAAAGCAGUUUGCAAGUCUGCGACUUCCUUUUCAUUUCCUGUAAUUUGCUUACAACAUGACCCGCAUAGCCGGCCCGGUGAAAUCCCGAUUCUCCAGCCCGUGGCAGCCUGCAGAACGGUAUGAGAGAUACAGAGGAGCCUGACCACAUAGGAUUGUAUCUGAGUCCAUGUUGACACACAGCCUCAGGAGCCAUGUUGAAAAGGAUGAAGACAAAAAUCAUUUUGGAGAUGAAGAAGCUAGGCUGACACUGGUGACACUGUGGGUGGUGCCACCCCUGGGCACAGAUGGCCCUGGGUUGCAUAAGGGAGUAAGCUAAGCAGGCCGGUAAGCCGCCAUUUCUCCACGCUCUUGACUUCAGUUCCUGCCUCCAGGUUCCCGUUUGAGUUCCUGCCUUGACAUCCUUCAAUGACAGACUGUGACAUGGAAGCGUAAGCCAAAUAAAUCCUUUCUUCCUUCAAA